RNAcentral lists this ribosomal RNA (543 nucleotides) under uncultured Verrucomicrobiota bacterium. RNAcentral's name for it is "bacterial SSU rRNA". It matches the Rfam family "Bacterial small subunit ribosomal RNA", at positions 8 to 522 of the family's 1533-position model. The record is from RNAcentral. Lineage: Bacteria; Pseudomonadati; Verrucomicrobiota.
AGAGUUUGAUCCUGGCUCAGAACGAACGCUGGCGGCGUGGAUAAGACAUGCAAGUCGAACGCUUGCUUCAGGGUAGCAAUAUUCUGGAGCAGGAGUGGCGGAAGGGUGCGUAACAUGUGGGUAAUCUGCCGUGAAGGCUGGGAUAACUUGCUGAAAGGCGAGCUAAUACCGGAUGAGAUAGCCAGGAGGCAGCUUUUGGCUAUGAAAGUUGGGGACUGUAAAAGGCCUGACGCUUCAUGAUGAGCCCGCAACCUAUCAGCUAGUUGGUGAGGUAAAGGCUCACCAAGGCUAAGACGGGUAGCUGGUCUGAGAGGACGACCAGCCACACUGGAACUGAGAGACGGUCCAGACACCUACGGGUGGCAGCAGUCGAGAAUUUUUCACAAUGGGCGCAAGCCUGAUGGAGCGACGCCGCGUGGGGGAUGAAGGGCUUCGGUCCGUAAACCCCUGCCAUUUGCGAACAAAGCUGCUGGCCCAAUACGCUAGCAGUUGAUAGUAGCAGAAGAGGAAGGGACGGCUAACUCUGUGCCAGCAGCCGCGGUA